Nicotiana tabacum (common tobacco) is the source of this 2424-nucleotide non-coding RNA. The record is from RefSeq and is a predicted model, not a curated record. NCBI's taxonomy places the organism in Eukaryota, Viridiplantae, Streptophyta, Magnoliopsida, Solanales, Solanaceae.
AAGGAAAAGAAUGAAAAGCGCAAAAAGUAGAAUGCAAAAUUUGAACGUGGCUUUCCAUUUUGUUGUUGGGUCCUUAUUUGUUUAUUCCAUGUGAGCACAUAGGCAUUUUGGUGAGAACAUUCUCAUAUCAAUGGUUUAAGGCUUUCUAGACACUCACAUUUUGAUACUUAAAAAGGGAUAUACAGUAGAGAGGAGAUAGAACGGAAGGAACAAGAAAAGAAUAGGAAAAAUCCUUAGCGCCGCAUCACUCACCUUGGACAGCAAAUUGACACACUUAGUGAUCUUUCUUCUUAAUUUCCUUCCAUAACACCCAACCUUUUUCCUCUGCGAUUGGUUGACAAGCUGAUCUCCAUAUUAUUGUCUACUAAUCGAAAUCACCCAAAACUCCGUCUCUACCCGUUUUUGUCUCCAUCUCUUUCUUUCGUUCUCAAGAUUAAUAAAGGUAUAAAUCACGGGUUGAGUUUAGUGAGAUGUCCGGCGGGGCUCUCCGGUGGAGAUCUUGUUCGCGGUUUUGUCACUUUUGCGUUUCUAAGCUGCCACUCAUUUAAAUUUCAGAUUUAUUUGAGGGACCUAACAUAGGUGCCCGAAAGAGAAUAAUAUACAGCCUGGAACAUUCAAAUCCAGAAAAUCUGAGCGGUCUAAAGUGGAGGGAAAAAUAAAUACAGUAUGUGAAUGAAGUGGAAUGAAAGAGUUAAAAAAAUAAUAAUUAUCUGUGUUGGGCACUCCAUUUCGCAGUGAUGAUUAACUCUGCUUUCCCAAUGUAUUGUCAAACCAUUUUAUGGCUCCAUUCAGUUGUGCAAUUUUCUUUCCUUCUACGGUAUGCUAGAGCUUCAAGCCAUUGCAUUUUCAUAUUCCUGGCUCCCAAACAACAACUGAACGUUUAUACAAAUCCACAAACAAACUUCUUCAGUCUAUAAUUGGUUUCUUCUGCACCAAACAAAGUAACAUAUAACAAGGAUAAAGGUGAACAAUUAUGUUGAAGCAGAGCAAAGUCUCAUUUGCCAUCUUAAUGCCUCCAGAUUUAGUCCUACUGUAGAAAUUCUGAAAAACUGCAGUGAACACAAAGUUUUUGUUGUCCCCUUCUUCUAACGUGAAUCAUGAUGGUGGUCUCAACAGUUUAGCUCUUGAUGGUUUAUACUUUCUGUCCUCCUUUUCAUGUUCUUCACUACCAAGAUAUCCUUAAGCUGCGCGCCACCUGCUAUUUUAGCAAAUAACAACUUAAUGGGGAACUUUUAAGCCCCAAAAAGUUCUUUUCUUCUCUUCUUAUCAAUAGUCGUUGAUUCAAUUCUUCAUCCUUAGACCAAUCCACCUCAUUAAUUCCAGCACUUCCCAAUGGAAACAUUACAAAGAAAAUUUGAUUAACUGGGUUAAUUACCAUACAUGAAGAUCUGGAUAGCAACGUAUCUGCUGAUGUUGAUAAAAAAAAAAAAUGACGCACAGAGUAAAUGUUGGUGUUCAAAUAUAACUCCAGCCACCUGUGUUUGAUGGCUCAUGUAUCACGAUAUAAGAAAAGUCAUGAGGCUAGCAUCACAAUUGAGAAUUGAUGGAGCUGGCAGUUGUGCUACAGAUUGGAAGCUACUGUUGGGCUGUUUGCAAACUGAGAAAGCGAUACGGCCAACAGAGUUGGCUAAAAAGCAUUUUAAAGAGAGGCUUUUGUAAGUUUUAUUCCUAAUGCAUUGAUUGUUGGCCAAGUUCAUACAGUCAAACUCAUUAAGAUUAUAUUACUGAUAUCUACGUUGAUUGGUAAUUGAAGAAGAUGCUUUACUAAUUGGAACAUUUACAACAUUAUGUCCGCAAUUUAUCUUUGGCAUAAUUUUAUAAAUUAAUGCCAUGCCGGUGAUACUUCCACACUUGAUAUUAAACCUGACUUGAAAUCCCUGGAGUAUAUGAUCUAUAAUGUUGAAAAAGGUAUAUUCAAGGCUUACAUUUGCAAAACUAGUCACUUUCGAUUUAUUUGAAGGGCGUCCUUAUGUAUGACUAUUACAGAGUAAUUCCUCUAUUUGUCAGGUUUAUGUUGUGGCAUAGAAGAUAUGGAUUCCUUAAAAUCUGGAGCUUCGAGGUCCUUUCACCAUUUAAUGGAUCCUAGCUUUGAACAUAUUCCACCAGCACAAUUAGAUGAGCUGGAACUUAAUAUAGACCAGUUCAUCACAUCCGAGUAUUGCUGCGGGGAGAGAAGUAUGUUCUGCUUGAAGUUGACCGACCUUACAGUAGAAUAUUUUCUCUUAUUGGUUGCUGAACAUGUGUAGCAAUUCUUUUUGGCGUGGAGAUACAUAGUUUGAUGAAGUUAGAUCACACCGCUUCUCUGUUCUUUUGCUAUUAUUGGUUUUGUACAAAGAUUCUAGCGUAUUUUCAAAAGAAAUUAUGCAUUUUUUAGCAACAGAGACUGAAUCUUUUGAUAACAAAGAGACGUACAACUUAUUUUCA